Molecule: ribosomal RNA, 301 nt
Filed under: uncultured bacterium
Lineage: Bacteria
Description: partial 16S ribosomal RNA
Rfam family: Bacterial small subunit ribosomal RNA
Source: RNAcentral
CAGUCGCCGCGGGAAUACGUAGGUGGCAAGCGUUGUCCGGAAUUAUUGGGCGUAAAGGGCUCGCAGGCGGUUUCUUAAGUCUGAUGUGAAAGCCCCCGGCUCAACCAGGGAGGGUCAUUGGAAACUGGGAAACUUGAGUGCAGAAGAGGAGAGUGGAAUUCCACGUGUAGCGGUGAAAUGCGUAGAGAUGUGGAGGAACACCAGUGGCGAAGGCGACUCUCUGGUCUGUAACUGACGCUGAGGAGCGAAAGCGUGGGGAGCGAACAGGAUUAGAUACCCCUGUAGUCCCUGUCUCUUAUAC